This 253-nucleotide ribosomal RNA is filed under the name uncultured bacterium. Its description in RNAcentral is "partial 16S ribosomal RNA". It matches the Rfam family "Bacterial small subunit ribosomal RNA", at positions 524 to 776 of the family's 1533-position model. The record is from RNAcentral.
UACAGAGGGUGCGAGCGUUGUCCGGAAUCACUGGGCGUAAAGGGCGCGUAGGCGGCCUGGUAAGCGUGCGGUGAAAGCCCGGGGCUCAACCCCGGGUCGGCCGUGCGAACUGCGAGGCUGGAGCACUGUAGAGGCAGGUGGAAUUCCGGGUGUAGCGGUGGAAUGCGUAGAGAUCCGGAGGAACACCAGCGGCGAAGGCGGCAUCCUGGACUGGUCCUGACACUCAUGAGCGAAAGCGUGGGGAGCGAUCCGG